This is a non-coding RNA of Camellia sinensis, 846 nucleotides long. Lineage: Eukaryota; Viridiplantae; Streptophyta; Magnoliopsida; Ericales; Theaceae. The record is from RefSeq and is a predicted model, not a curated record.
UGAUUUGUAUGUGGUGAGGUUGGAUGGGAGUGGGUUGCAGAGGUUGACUUGUAAUUGGUAUGAGAAUGGCACGCCAGCGUGGCACCAGAGGGAUGAGUUGCUGGAUACGGGACGGUUGGGCUUGGGAUGCGAGGUUGGAGAUAAGUUGCAGGGUCAAUUCGAUGAGCCGCUCUGGAUCCGUUGUGAUUUUUAAUUCCAACACCAAUGAAUUCAGGACCAGAGGAUGGACAAGAAGUCAUCAGAUCAAUAUGUACCUGACAGCAGCAAUAAUAGUGCGGAUGGAGGAAAGAAUGGAUGGAAUAGCUCUGCUUCUGAUAUUACUGGGGAUGAAGGAGGCACCUCUAAUUCCUCCCUUGACGCUUUUUUUUAGUUAGAGAGAUUUAGGGAAGGAUUUGAAAAGGAAAGGAAAAAGAUGUGUAAAUUAGAUGAAAUGUAGGUAUAUUUUAUUCACAUUUCACUUAUCUUUUCAAAUUUCUUCUCAAAUCCUCCAACCAAACACAGUAUGAGACUGUCUCAUCUAGGAAGAAGCCAACUGGGCAGUCACUCAGAAUGACAGAUGAUUAUAUACUUCAGAGAUACGCUUUUACAAAGGAAAGGAUUGAAGUAUACCCAGUUUUUAUCCUGAAGAAUCAUCAUUCUUUGUGGAGAAACUCACUAGAUCAUAAUUUGUGGUGUGACUAAUUGUGAAGACUUAAUUUUAGUUUGAGCAUGCUGUAUGAAGAUGUCGUCAUUCUUUGUGGAGAAUCUCACUAGAUCAUAAUUUGUGGUGUGACUAAUUGUAAAGACUUAAUUUUAGUUUGAGCAUGUAUAUCAAUUGCUUUGUUAUAGGCUCCUUUGGUUUUGUGG